GGUUCCAGGUGACAACAGUUCCAACUCUGAUCAAAAUGAAGACAAAGAAGUCACAGAAAUAUUUUCAUUUCUGGGCAUGGGAAUUCUUGACUCUGUAGUGGACUAUAUUCUCAAUACAAUGUUCAAGAGCUCUGGAUAUAUGAAUUUGGGAGAAAAGUAAACAAUGACUUCAUGAAAUUGGCUGGAAAAAACAAUUCCUAGUCCUGCUUUCCAUGUCAGGAUCAAAUGGAGUGAAUGUGACAAGAAAAGAGGAAGGAAGAAAGUACCAAGCAUUUAUUAACUACCU
Molecule: long non-coding RNA, 286 nt
Organism: Sarcophilus harrisii (Tasmanian devil)
Lineage: Eukaryota; Metazoa; Chordata; Mammalia; Dasyuromorphia; Dasyuridae
Exons: 3
Source: RefSeq, a predicted model, not a curated record